CCUGAGGGUUCUCCACUAACUAGGAGGUAACAGUGACAGCCAGUGAUAUGCCGCUGUUGCUUACUGCACCCGUGGAUCCUAUCUGCUGCAGGGCAAUUCAUGGCUCCUUAGACAUGAAUCCAGAGCAGCACUAGGUCACUAUUUUACACACAGUGAGCAAGGUUGUUUGCCAGCUCACUGGGGAUCAGCAUAAAGAUUAGCACACUUGAAUCCCCUUCUCCUACCCAGUCUACAACAGACACUCACUAACACAGCAGGAGGCAUGGGCCAGCACACCGUGUGUGUGAUCCCUCAGGCACAUCAAAUCACUGAGUGCCAGACCCAGAAAUGGUUUUGGGGUGCCUCUACCCUGCUCUGCCACUUCCAGCACAGACAUAUUCUAGGAAGAGCAAGACAAAGAAGGAAAGCAAAGAGACCCUGGAAGGAGAUCUGAAAACUCAAGGAGCUGUAGAAAACCCAAGAAGAAUGAAGCGAGUCAAAGGUACACUUUGGGCUUGAUGGAUGGGCUGUCACUGGUAGUAGCAACACUGUCAGCAUCACAGUAACCAGGAUGGAACAGACCACUACGAGAAGCUCCAAGUGUUAAUUUUGCAUUUUCAGUACACAGUAUUCAGCACUCAAACACGUCUUGAAAAAAUAAAAUAAACCAGGUCUAUUUCAA
Long non-coding RNA from Pezoporus flaviventris, 661 nucleotides. RefSeq lists it as uncharacterized. The transcript is spliced from 2 exons. NCBI's taxonomy places the organism in Eukaryota, Metazoa, Chordata, Aves, Psittaciformes, Psittacidae. The record is from RefSeq and is a predicted model, not a curated record.